Molecule: long non-coding RNA, 240 nt
Filed under: Elaeis guineensis (African oil palm)
Lineage: Eukaryota; Viridiplantae; Streptophyta; Magnoliopsida; Arecales; Arecaceae
Description: long non-coding RNA (EGUI_LNC046385)
Source: RNAcentral
ACGGCCCUUGGAGAUAUUCAGCACCUUGAAUUGCUUCUAAAAAUGAAGCCCUUCUCCUCCAAGUAUCCAAGUGAUACUAUGCUCCUCUUGAGAUCUGGGAUAUAAUGCAAUCUGUCAAGGUCCACACUCUCUCGUCAAACAUCCUCAGCUUGAUAGAACCUACUUCUACUAUACCACAAGAGCUCCCAUCUCCUAGUAUUACCUGCUACCCCUCACCCAUCUGUGUGUAAGAGGCAAACC